CCCCUAGACGUUCUGGGCUGCACGCGCGCUACAAUAAUACGCACAGCGAGUAUCACCGAGCUCGAAAGGGCAGGGUAAACAAUAGAAAAGGUACUGUAAUGGUUAUAGAUCCUUGUAAUUAUUGAUCUUCAACGAGGAAUUCCUAGUAAGUAUGUGUCAUCAUCACGCACUGAUUACGUCCCUGCCCUUUGUACACACCGCCCGUCGCUCCUACCGAUUGAGUGAGCCGAUGAAACUGCCGGAUGUGGACUAUUCAUAGUCUGCAGAAGAUAUUUGAAUCGUAGCGCUUAGAGGAAGGAGAAGUCGUAACA
RNAcentral lists this ribosomal RNA (311 nucleotides) under uncultured eukaryote. RNAcentral's name for it is "partial 18S ribosomal RNA". It matches the Rfam family "Eukaryotic small subunit ribosomal RNA", at positions 1470 to 1796 of the family's 1831-position model. The record is from RNAcentral.